CUGCGACGAGGGGGGUACGACCCGUCUCCGGGAAUUGAAAACGUUUUAUCGACAUCACCACACACACACGCGCGCACAUGGAAUAAGGGAGCGGCGAGAGAGAGAGAGUGUGGUAGAAGAGAGCAGGUAAGUGGAAGGCAAAACCCCAGAACCCAGCGCGUGCGAGCAAGAGAGAGCGAGUAACAGUAAAACGACGCAGCCAACACACACAACAGCGCACGAAAUGGGAAAAGAGGAAGAAACAGCGGGGAGCUCUCGUUGCACACUCACACACUGAUGCAGGCGCUGCUGGGCCCGUCAUGGUUGAACGCGUGAGCGUUCUUUCUGCUCUUUCUUUCUCUCGCUCUGCGUUCAAGCGAAUGGCGACGCGCACGGUGACUGGCUGCGUACGUGCGGGAAGGAACGGCGCUUUUUGCUUGCCUGGCUGUGCUUGGUAAUUGUGUGCGACGACGACGACGGUGGUUGCGGCGACGUUUGUUGACAUUAUGUCAUUUUCCCUUGAUCUCCCUGCGCUGUAUUUUUUGUUGCUUCUCUUCUUCCUGAUACUUCUUCCAGAUGACUUUUGAAGGGUAAUUAAAAAAUGUUGAGGCGCCCCUGCCGCCUCCACCCGCCCCAUGUAGGAGAGGACAUUUAUUUAAAUUUUCCCAUGCAGCAUUUGAUGGAUUGCUACGGGUGUGUGUGCGUGUAUGGAUAUAUGAUUUCGGUACGGAUAAGCCCCAACACCCGCAUGCACAUACGUGUGUGUGUGUGUGUGUGAGGUGCUCCCUUCACCACUCUCUUUCUCUCUUCUGCAGGGGCACGCGCGCGCGUGUGUGUGUGGGUAGCGGGGACACACGGUAUUGAAUUUUUCGCGGGGAGCGUGCGUUUCGACAAAAUGUCGGCCGCUUGCGCACUGACGCAAGUGGUGGUGGUGGUGGUGAGCAGCCGCUGUACGCGUACAAAUGAAAAUACAUAAAAAAACGCCGACAUAAAAACGGAAGAAAAUCAUGUAAAUUUUACAUUUGCUGCACCUCUCCUCACCCGCCCCCCUCCCCAAACUCUGGGUUGGUGGCGAGCACGCGAUUAUUGCUCAUCAAUAUACCGGCCGGGCAGGCCCUACCGCACGGCGGUGAAGGUUAUCAAGGCAUUUGUUGUUGAAUUUUUAAUAUGCCGGUUGCCGUCGCCGUCGUCGCUAGUUGUUUCCCGGGCGUUUGCUCGGUUGCGGUUUUCGGCCGAACGGGGAGCUCUUUGUAUGCCAAGAAAAAAAGAGGGGGACCCUCUCUUUCAUCCCACACACCACACCACCAGUCACGCACACACACACACACACAGUGAGAAAAUCCAUUUUUUUCACUUUCUGUUUGUGUGUGUGUGUGCGUGAUGCGGCACGGGGUGUGAAACGGAGGGUAUGCACACGCACACCACCACACAACGCGUCGCCUACCUCAUACACCCUUCCUCGCACACACACACACACACAUAGCCAUGAGCAAAAAAAAAAUACAGAAACAACAACAACAAAAAACUCCAUCCAAGCAAACGCGUUUUGCAAAUUUUCUCUCUUGUUCUCUUUUUUUCACAUGAUCUGCUUUCUCUCCAUUGCGGUGAAUCGAACCGGCUUUCAAUUAUUGCAGAAUUUCAGUUUUUUUUCUUACGAAAAAGAGCAGUAAGGCGUUUUUGUUUUGACUAAAAGUGUGUUUUUCUGUAUUUUUUGUUUUUUUUUUUGUUGUAAAAAAUGAUACAAAAAGCGUGUUGAUGUCACUACACACCUAACCUUGUAGCUUUUUUCUUCUUCCUUUCGGCGCCGAAACACCGUCACCCUCCCGCACAGACCGUCUGUUCUCGCUGUGUAACGCUUGCGCAAUUUAAACCGUUCGGCCACGUGCAGUUGACCGUUACAAGGAGCAACAAAAGCAUUUGCAAAACCCGAACAAAAAAGGACAUUCAGCACGGGUUGAAACAGAAGAAACAAUUUGUCACCGACCCCAUACACCAUGGCCAUGUGGUUCUGAAGCAUUUUGGGAAAAAAAGCAACAGCAACAAAUCCUUAGCAGGCGGAGGAGAAAGUGAUUUCUGCCUUUUUUUGUUUGUUUGCAUGCAUUCGCUCUCUCAUUCUAGCACAGUUUUUUGCUCUCUCCCUUUCUCCCUUACUCACUUUGCGUAUCCUUUUCUCUCGCCUUAUCCUUUUUCGUAUGGGGGAAGGAAAAAAAGCCUUUUCCCUAGCUAGAAGGCUUUGUAUGCUGGGUUUGCGGUCGUCCGCUCCUUCGAAGGGCAUCGAGGCAGGCUCUGUUACUUUUUUGUCCUUUUAUUUCCCUCUCAUUCUCUCUCUCUCUCUCUCUCUCUCUCUUUCGCAGGGGAGAACUCCUGCCACAGUAAUUUCCGCUUGUUGUCUUCCCAACCGCGACCUUACCCAUUGCGCACCGCCGUCUAGCACACCAUCACGUCUGGUGACGGUUGGGGGAGGUGGGGAUGUCGAAUUUUUCCUUGCCGCCUUUUGGGGGGGGGG
This is a long non-coding RNA of Anopheles gambiae (African malaria mosquito), 2485 nucleotides long. RefSeq lists it as uncharacterized. The transcript has 2 exons. Lineage: Eukaryota; Metazoa; Arthropoda; Insecta; Diptera; Culicidae. The record is from RefSeq and is a predicted model, not a curated record.